RNAcentral lists this ribosomal RNA (221 nucleotides) under Prevotellaceae bacterium. RNAcentral's name for it is "partial 16S ribosomal RNA". It matches the Rfam family "Bacterial small subunit ribosomal RNA", at positions 1313 to 1533 of the family's 1533-position model. The record is from RNAcentral. Lineage: Bacteria; Pseudomonadati; Bacteroidota; Bacteroidia; Bacteroidales; Prevotellaceae.
CGACUUCAUGAAGCCGGAAUCGCUAGUAAUCGCGGGUCAGAAUACCGCGGUGAAUAUGUUCUUGAGCCUUGUACACACCGCCCGUCAAGCCACGAAAGUGGGGGGCAUCCGAAGUCGCCAAUGUAACCAUUAGGGACUAAGUGCCGAAGAUGAACUCCGUGAUUGGGACUAAGUCGUAACAAGGUAGCCGUAGGGGAACCUGCUGCUGGAUCACCUCCUUU